AGUAAAUAGAUACCCGGGUAGUCCACGCCGUAAACGAUGAAUACUAGGUGUAGGGGUUGUCAUGACCUCUGUGCCGCCGCUAAACGCAUUAAGUAUUCCGCCUGGGGAGUACGGUCGCAAGAUUAAAACUCAAAGGAAUUGACGGGGGCCCGCACAAGCAGCGGAGCAUGUGGUUUAAAUUCGAAGCAACGCGAAGAACCUUACCUAGACUUGACAUCUCCUGAAUUACUCUGUAAUGGAGGAAGCCACUUCGGUGGCAGGAAGACAGGUGGUGCAUGGUUGUCGUCAGCUCGUGUCGUGAGAUGUUGGGUUAAGUCCCGCAACGAGCGCAACCCUUAUUGUUAGUUGCUACCAUUUAGUUGAGCACUCUAGCGAGACUGCCCGGGUUAACCGGGAGGAAGGUGGGGAUGACGUCAAAUCAUCAUGCCCCUUAUGUCUAGGGCUACACACGUGCUACAAUGGUCGGUACAAUGAGAUGCAACCUCGCGAGAGUGAGCAAAAACUAUAAAACCGAUCUCAGUUCGGAUUGUAGGCUGAAAC
This 540-nucleotide ribosomal RNA is filed under the name uncultured bacterium. RNAcentral's name for it is "bacterial SSU rRNA". It matches the Rfam family "Bacterial small subunit ribosomal RNA", at positions 775 to 1311 of the family's 1533-position model. The record is from RNAcentral.